CCUACGGGAGGCAGCAGUGGGGAAUUUUGGACAAUGGGCGCAAGCCUGAUCCAGCAAUGCCGCGUGAGUGAAGAAGGCCUUCGGGUUGUAAAGCUCUUUUGUCAGGGAAGAAACGGCUGGGGUUAAUACCUCUGGCUAAUGACGGUACCUGAAGAAUAAGCACCGGCUAACUACGUGCCAGCACC
This 185-nucleotide ribosomal RNA is filed under the name uncultured beta proteobacterium. RNAcentral describes it as "partial 16S ribosomal RNA". It matches the Rfam family "Bacterial small subunit ribosomal RNA", at positions 338 to 515 of the family's 1533-position model. The record is from RNAcentral. Lineage: Bacteria; Pseudomonadati; Pseudomonadota; Betaproteobacteria.